This 253-nucleotide ribosomal RNA is filed under the name uncultured bacterium. RNAcentral describes it as "partial 16S ribosomal RNA". It matches the Rfam family "Bacterial small subunit ribosomal RNA", at positions 524 to 776 of the family's 1533-position model. The record is from RNAcentral.
UACGUAGGGUGCAAGCGUUGUCCGGAAUUAUUGGGCGUAAAGAGCUCGUAGGCGGUCUGUUGCGUCGGCUGUGAAAACCCGGGGCUCAACUCCGGGCCUGCAGCCGAUACGGGCAGACUAGAGUUCGGCAGGGGAGACUGGAAUUCCUGGUGUAGCGGUGAAAUGCGCAGAUAUCAGGAGGAACACCGGUGGUGUAGACGGCUCUCUGGACCGUAACUGACGCUGAGACACGAAAGCGUGGGUAGCAAACAGG